RNAcentral lists this ribosomal RNA (335 nucleotides) under uncultured Planctomycetales bacterium. Its description in RNAcentral is "bacterial SSU rRNA". It matches the Rfam family "Bacterial small subunit ribosomal RNA", at positions 473 to 806 of the family's 1533-position model. The record is from RNAcentral. Lineage: Bacteria; Pseudomonadati; Planctomycetota; Planctomycetia; Planctomycetales.
CGUUACCACCAGAGGAAGCACUGGCUAACUCCGUGCCAGCAGCUGCGGUAAUACGGAGAGUGCAAGCGUUGUUCGGAUUUACUGGGCGUAAAGGGCGCGUAGGCGGCCCGUUAAGUUCGGGGUGGAAUCCCACUGCUCACCAGUGGAAUGGCCUCGGAUACUGGCGGGCUUGAGCAUGUGAGAGGUCAGUGGAACUCUGGGUGGAGCGGUGAAAUGCGUAGACAUCCAGAGGAACGCCGGCGGCGAAGGCGACUGACUGGCGCAUUGCUGACGCUGAGUGCGCGAAAGCCAGGGGAGCAAACGGGAUUAGAUACCCCGGUAGUCCUAGCCGUAAA